AGCAGCCGCGGUAAUUCCAGCUCCAAUAGCGUAUAUUAAAGUUGUUGCAGUUAAAAAGCUCGUAGUUGAAUUUCGAGAUCAAAUUGUUGGUCGUGCCUUGGUACGCACUGGCAUUAUUGGUUUCUCCCUUCUGACGAACCAUGAUGUCAUUAAUUUGGUGUCUUGGGGAAUCAGGACUGUUACUUUGAAAAAUUAGAGUGUUUAAAGCAGGCUCACGCUUGAAUACAUUAGCAUGGAAUAAUGAAAUAGGACGUUUGAUUCUAUUUUGUUGGUUUCUAGGAUCGACGUAAUGAUUAAUAGGGAUAGUUGGGGGCAUUAGUAUUCAAUUGUCAGAGGUGAAAUUCUUGGAUUUAUUGAAGACUAACUACUGCGAAAGCAUUUGCCAAGGAUGUUUUCAUUAAUCAAGAACGAAAGUUAGGGGAUCGAAGACGAUCAGAUACCGUCGUAGUCUUAACCAUAAACUAUGCCGACUAGGGAUCGGAUGAUGUUAAUUUUUAAUGUACCCAUUCGGCGUACCG
Molecule: ribosomal RNA, 518 nt
Filed under: uncultured Glomus
Lineage: Eukaryota; Fungi; Glomeromycota; Glomeromycetes; Glomerales; Glomeraceae
Description: SSU rRNA
Rfam family: Eukaryotic small subunit ribosomal RNA
Source: RNAcentral